ACGGGUGAGUAAUACAUCGGAACGUGCCCUGUAGUGGGGGAUAACUAGUCGAAAGAUUAGCUAAUACCGCAUACGACCUGAGGGUGAAAGUGGGGGACCGCAAGGCCUCAUGCUAUAGGAGCGGCCGAUGUCUGAUUAGCUAGUUGGUGAGGUAAAGGCUCACCAAGGCGACGAUCAGUAGCUGGUCUGAGAGGACGAUCAGCCACACUGGGACUGAGACACGGCCCAGACUCCUACGGGAGGCAGCAGUGGGGAAUUUUGGACAAUGGGGGCAACCCUGAUCCAGCAAUGCCGCGUGUGUGAAGAAGGCCUUCGGGUUGUAAAGCACCUUUGUCCGGAAAGAAAUCGCACUUACUAAUAUUAGGUGUGGAUGACGGUACCGGAAGAAUAAGGACCGGCUAACUACGUGCCAGCAGCCGCGGUAAUACGUAGGGUCCAAGCGUUAAUCGGAAUUACUGGGCGUAAAGCGUGCGCAGGCGGUUGUGCAAGACCGAUGUGAAAUCCCCGGGCUUAACCUGGGAAUUGCAUUGGUGACUGCACGGCUAGAGUGUGUCAGAGGGGGGUAGAAUUCCACGU
This 576-nucleotide ribosomal RNA is filed under the name uncultured bacterium. RNAcentral's name for it is "bacterial SSU rRNA". It matches the Rfam family "Bacterial small subunit ribosomal RNA", at positions 102 to 674 of the family's 1533-position model. The record is from RNAcentral.